UGGCUCAUUUGGAAAAGCAGUUUUUUUACUCUAGCUUAUUUUGUAGGAAAACAUUUGGCAAAAUAGCUUCUCCUAGCUUUUUAGAUUGGAAGGAAGAUGUUAUAAAAAAUAUCCAAAAUACCCUUAGAUUUCUUUUUUCUCAUUUGUUUUUCUUUUUCUCUUCAUUUUCCUUUUCUUUUUCUUUCUUUUUUUAUUUCUCUUUCCUUCUCCCCUUCUUUUCUUUUCCCCUCCUCUCUCUCCUUAUCCGAUCAGCCUCUCCCUCCGCCUCAACCUCCGCCCCUCCACCGCCACCCCGCCGGUCCCGGCUCCCUCCGCCGCCACUGCCAGUCUCCGUUCGCCCUGCGCCGUCUCGCUGGAGCUCCACCGCCAGUCUCCGUCUGCCUCGCCACCAGGUUAGCCCCGAGGAUAGCGAUGGAAUUUGGACUCGUUCGGAUGGGGAGGAGCCACGAUAAGCCACUAUUUUUAGCUUCUCGCAUGGGGAGGAACUGAGUCAGCGCGUUUUGCGGGGCUUCUGCCCGACUUCUUGCCAUGAGCCAUUGCACUUUGCACCAUUUGGCAUGGCUUCAUAAAAAACCGCUCGAGAAGCCGGCUGAUGAGCC
RNAcentral lists this long non-coding RNA (599 nucleotides) under Setaria italica (foxtail millet). RNAcentral's name for it is "long non-coding RNA (SITA_LNC006362)". The record is from RNAcentral. Lineage: Eukaryota; Viridiplantae; Streptophyta; Magnoliopsida; Poales; Poaceae.